AUUGAACGCUGGUGGCAGGCUUAACACAUGCAAGUCGAACGAUGAUUACUAGCUUGCUAGUAUGAUUAGUGGCGAACGGGUGAGUAAUGCUUAGGAAUCUACCUAUUAGUGGGGGACAACAUUCCGAAAGGAAUGCUAAUACCGCAUACGUCCUAUGGGAGAAAGCAGGGGAUCGCAAGACCUUGUGCUAAUAGAUGAGCCUAAGUCGGAUUAGCUAGUUGGUGGGGUAAAGGCCUACCAAGGCGACGAUCUGUAGCUGGUCUGAGAGGAUGAUCAGCCACACUGGGACUGAGACACGGCCCAGACUCCUACGGGAGGCAGCAGUGGGGAAUAUUGGACAAUGGGCGAAAGCCUGAUCCAGCCAUGCCGCGUGUGUGAAGAAGGCCUUUUGGUUGUAAAGCACUUUAAGUGGGGAGGAAAAGUUGACGGUUAAUACCCGCCAGCCCUGACGUACCCACAGAAUAAG
RNAcentral lists this ribosomal RNA (466 nucleotides) under Moraxella sp. oral taxon B07. Its description in RNAcentral is "bacterial SSU rRNA". It matches the Rfam family "Bacterial small subunit ribosomal RNA", at positions 30 to 490 of the family's 1533-position model. Lineage: Bacteria; Pseudomonadati; Pseudomonadota; Gammaproteobacteria; Moraxellales; Moraxellaceae. The record is from RNAcentral.